AGUGAACGCUGGCGGUAGGCCUAACACAUGCAAGUCGAACGGCAGCACAGUAAUAGCUUGCUCUUCCGGGUUGCGAGUGGCGUACGGGUGAGGUAUACAUCCUACUCUACUUUUUCGUGGAGGUUCACGUAGGUAAACUUACUCUCAUACCGCAUCCCCCCUUCCGUUGAAAGCAGUGGAUCUUCUGACCUUUCGCGAUUGAAUUCGCCGCUGUCGGAUUAGCUAGUUGGCGGGGUAAAGGCCCACCCAGGCGACGAUCCGUAGCUGGUCUGAGAGGAGGGUAAGCGACACUGGAACUGAGACACGGUCAAGACGACUAAGGGAGGCAGCAGUGGGGAAUAGUGGACAAUGGGGGCAAGCAUGAUCCAGCCAUACCGAGUGGGAGAAGAAGGCGUUCGGGUUGUAAAGACCGUUUGUGGGGAAAGAAAAGCAGCAGGUUAAGACCAAGCUGUUGUGACGGUAACGAAAGAAGAAGCACCGGCUAACUACGUG
Molecule: ribosomal RNA, 492 nt
Filed under: uncultured bacterium
Lineage: Bacteria
Description: partial 16S ribosomal RNA
Rfam family: Bacterial small subunit ribosomal RNA
Source: RNAcentral